RNAcentral lists this ribosomal RNA (492 nucleotides) under uncultured bacterium. Its description in RNAcentral is "partial 16S ribosomal RNA". It matches the Rfam family "Bacterial small subunit ribosomal RNA", at positions 29 to 507 of the family's 1533-position model. The record is from RNAcentral.
AGUGAACGCUGGCGGUAGGCCUAACACAUGCAAGUCGAACGGCAGCACAGUAAGAGCUUGCUCUUACGGGUGGCGAGUGGCGGACGGGUGAGGAAUACAUCGGAAUCUACUUUUUCGUGGGGGAUAACGUAGGGAAACUUACGCUAAUACCGCAUACGACCUACGGGUGAAAGCAGGGGAUCUUCGGACCUUGCGCGAUUGAAUGAGCCGAUGUCGGAUUAGCUAGUUGGCGGGGUAAAGGCCCACCAAGGCGACGAUCCGUAGCUGGUCUGAGAGGAUGAUCAGCCACAAUGGAACUGAGACACGGUCCAGACUCCCACGGGAGGCAGCAGUGGGGAAUAUUGGACAAUGGGCGCAAGCCUGAUCCAGCCAUACCGCGUGGGUGAAGAAGGCCUUCGGGUUGUAAAGCCCUUUUGUUGGGAAAGAAAAGCAGCAGGUUAAUACCCCGCUGUUCUGACGGUACCCAAAGAAUAAGCACCGGCUAACUUCGUG